Molecule: ribosomal RNA, 485 nt
Filed under: uncultured bacterium
Lineage: Bacteria
Description: bacterial SSU rRNA
Rfam family: Bacterial small subunit ribosomal RNA
Source: RNAcentral
AUUGAACGCUGGCGGCAUGCCUUACACAUGCAAGUCGAGCGGCAGCACGGGUGCUUGCACCUGGUGGCGAGUGGCGAACGGGUGAGUAAUAUAUCGGAACGUACCUUAUCGUGGGGGAUAACGCAGCGAAAGCUGCGCUAAUACCGCAUACGCCCUGAGGGGGAAAGCGGGGGACCGUAAGGCCUCGCGCGAUUAGAGCGGCCGAUAUCUGAUUAGCUUGUUGGUGGGGUAAAAGCCCACCAAGGCGACGAUCAGUAGCUGGUCUGAGAGGACGAUCAGCCACACUGGGACUGAGACACGGCCCAGACUCCUACGGGAGGCAGCAGUGGGGAAUUUUGGACAAUGGGGGCAACCCUGAUCCAGCAAUGCCGCGUGAGUGAAGAAGGCCUUCGGGUUGUAAAGCUCUUUUGUCAGGGAAGAAACAGCAGCUCUAACACAGUCUGCGAAUGACGGUACCUGAAGAAUAAGCACCGGCUAACUACGUG